GCUCAGGAUGAACGCUGGCGGCGUGCUUAACACAUGCAAGUCGAACGGGAAUUACUUUAUUGAAACUUCGGUCGAUUUAAUUUAAUUCUAGUGGCGGACGGGUGAGUAACGCGUGGGUAACCUGCCUUAUACAGGGGGAUAACAGUCAGAAAUGGCUGCUAAUACCGCAUAAGCGCACAGAGCUGCAUGGCUCAGUGUGAAAAACUCCGGUGGUAUAAGAUGGACCCGCGUUGGAUUAGCUAGUUGGUGGGGUAACGGCCCACCAAGGCGACGAUCCAUAGCCGGCCUGAGAGGGUGAACGGCCACAUUGGGACUGAGACACGGCCCAGACUCCUACGGGAGGCAGCAGUA
This 351-nucleotide ribosomal RNA is filed under the name uncultured bacterium. Its description in RNAcentral is "bacterial SSU rRNA". It matches the Rfam family "Bacterial small subunit ribosomal RNA", at positions 22 to 356 of the family's 1533-position model. The record is from RNAcentral.